RNAcentral lists this long non-coding RNA (1168 nucleotides) under Homo sapiens (human). RNAcentral describes it as "HSALNT0374147". Lineage: Eukaryota; Metazoa; Chordata; Mammalia; Primates; Hominidae. The record is from RNAcentral.
UUUAAAGGGCUGUGGAAUCAAAGGCCAGUGGCGGACAUGGGCCUCAUUCUCACUCGUCCAACUUCUCUUUCCAGCAAACCAUACCUUUUCUGCAAUUGUAGCUCAUCAUGUCAGAUGAAUGAAACUGAUUAAGGCAACUCUCUCCUGCCAACUUCACCAUAUUUGGAUGCAGCGUCUCAUCCUUCCAUCUCACCUGUCCAGAAAUGAUGCCUGGGCUGUGAGACCAUUCCUGUGGCCAUGAAGGAAACCUCCAAAGAAUCAGAGACCUUGGUGCUAGCAUUGCUGAGUCCCUGAAUCAGUGCCAACAACAACCCACCUACAUAUUUUGCAUCCUCUAUGAAAAACAACCCCCUUUGAAUUCAGGUUUUCUAACACAUACAGCCAAAAGCCUACCUGGCUGAUACAUUUAUAGACUACAUUGCUGUUGAGACUGCCCGAGAGACACCUGUCUGCAGAGCUCAUGUUUACCCAUUAUCACUUGUGCCUGCUUUCUUUUCCCAGGGUAUAACGAGUUCCUUGGUGUGCUCCUGUUGCUAUUUUCAGUCUUCCACCUCUCCUUGCAUAAGUCAAAACUUGGGAAUAUCCAGGCAGCCUUUCCUUCCAGCUCUUCCCCAUACCUUCUGCUUGCUCCCAAGUGCUAAUCUCACUUCCAGCUAUUUAUGCUGCAGGCUCUUCAUUUCUUGCCUUCCAAGCAGCCACAUUCUGGGUGAUACAGAACCAGGGUACCUGUUACUGGUGCUACUAAAUACCCCAACACAAACAUCACAAGAUUCCUUUUCAGUGUCACCAGGAGUAGGGACAUUCAUCUUCCCAUUAAAGACAAAUUAACCACUUGCCUGUCUCUACCUUGUCAGUUUUACUACCUUAGUCUCCACCGGUUCUCAAAAAGCCCUCCUGCCCACUCAGUCCUUCAUCCCUGCCUGCUCUCUGUUGAAGUCUGUUCCGCUCCAUACCCAACAACACUGGUAAAGGCUGCGCCAUCUUUGAAUAGUGUUUCCAUUUAUUAUUUUGUGUUAUUGUUAUUUAGACAAUCAAAUCGUUCACUUAAAUGAAUACAUUAUGAACAUAUUUUAAAUUGCCUAUGGACUUAUUUAAGAUAACAAUUCCUCAGAUCUAAAAUUAUUUACCCAUUUUUGUUAAAAAAGGAAAAAUUGGGGCUUGAAUUAGG